AAUGGAUGGCGCUUAAGUUGUAUACCUAUACAUUACCGCUAAAGUAGAUGAUUUAUAUUAUUUAUAAUAUAAAUUUUGAAACUUUAGUGAGUAGGAAGGUACAAUGGUGUGCUUAGAAGUGUUUGGCGUAAGCCUGCAUGGAGCCGCCAUUGGUACAGAUCUUGGUGGUAGUAGCAAAUAAUCGAAUGAGACCUUGGAGGACUGAAGUGGAGAAGGGUUUCGUGUGAACAGUGGUUGAUCACGAGUUAGUCGGUCCUAAGUUCAAGACGAAAGCCGAAAAUUUUCAAGUUUUAAAAAUGUCAAAUGAAAUAAUAAAUAAUAAAACACUUGAAUAAUUUUGAACGAAAGGGAAUACGGUUCCAAUUCCGUAACCUGUUGAGUAUCCGUUUGUUAUUAAAUAUGGGCCUCGUGCUCAUCCUGGCAACAGGAACGACCAUAAAGAAGCCGUCGAGAGGUAUCGGAAGAGUUUUCUUUUCUGUUUUAUAGCCGUACUACCAUGGAAGUCUUUCGCAGAGAGAUAUGGUAGAUGGGCUAGAAGAGCAUGACAUAUACUGUUGUGUCGAUAUUUUCUCCUCGGACCUUGAAAAUUUAUGGUGGGGAUACGCAAACUUCUCAACAGGCCGUACCAAUAUCCGCAGCUGGUCUCCAAGGUGAAGAGUCUCUAGUCGAUAGAAUAAUGUAGGUAAGGGAAGUCGGCAAAUUAGAUCCGUAACUUCGGGAUAAGGAUUGGCUCUGAAGAUUGAGAUAGUCGGGCUUGAUUGGGAAACAAUAACAUGGUUUAUGUGCUCGUUCUGGGUAAAUAGAGUUUCUAUCAUUUAUGAUAGUUAUUUGUUCCCCGGAUAGUUAGUUACGUAGCCAAUUGUGGAACUUUCUUGCUAAAAUUUUUAAGAAUACUAAUUUUUAAUUAGUUCUUUUAAAUUAUAACGAUUAUCAAUUAACAAUCAAUUCAGAACUGGCACGGACUUGGGGAAUCCGACUGUCUAAUUAAAACAAAGCAUUGUGAUGGCCCUAGCGGGUGUUGACACAAUGUGAUUUCUGCCCAGUGCUCUGAAUGUCAAAGUGAAGAAAUUCAAGUAAGCGC
Molecule: non-coding RNA, 1081 nt
Filed under: Drosophila willistoni
Lineage: Eukaryota; Metazoa; Arthropoda; Insecta; Diptera; Drosophilidae
Description: Eukaryotic large subunit ribosomal RNA
Rfam family: Eukaryotic large subunit ribosomal RNA
Source: Rfam by way of RNAcentral